UAGGGAAUCUUCCGCAAUGGGCGAAAGCCUGACGGAGCAACGCCGCGUGAGUGAUGAAGGUCUUCGGAUCGUAAAACUCUGUUAUUAGGGAAGAACAAAUGUGUAAGUAACUAUGCACGUCUUGACGGUACCUAAUCAGAAAGCCACGGCUAACUACGUGCCAGCAGCCGCGGUAAUACGUAGGUGGCAAGCGUUAUCCGGAAUGAUUGGGCGUAAAGCGCGCGUAGGCGGUUUUUUAAGUCUGAUGUGAAAGCCCACGACUCAAACGUGGAGGGUCAUUGGAAACUGGAAAACUUGAGUGCAGAAGAGGAAAGUGGAAUUCCAUGUGUAGCGGUGAAAUGCGCAGAGAUAUGGAGGAACACCAGUGGCGAAGGCGACUUUCUGGUCUGUAACUGACGCUGAUAUGCGAAAGCGUGGGGAUCAAACAGG
This 429-nucleotide ribosomal RNA is filed under the name Actinomycetes bacterium. Its description in RNAcentral is "Actinobacteria bacterium partial 16S ribosomal RNA". It matches the Rfam family "Bacterial small subunit ribosomal RNA", at positions 355 to 776 of the family's 1533-position model. Lineage: Bacteria; Bacillati; Actinomycetota; Actinomycetes. The record is from RNAcentral.